GAGGGUAUAGCUCAAGUGGUAGAGCACAUGCUUAGCAUGCAUGUAGGUCCUGGGUUCAAUCCCCAGUACCUCCU
Molecule: transfer RNA, 74 nt
Organism: Camelus ferus (Wild Bactrian camel)
Lineage: Eukaryota; Metazoa; Chordata; Mammalia; Artiodactyla; Camelidae
Rfam family: tRNA
About the family: Transfer RNA (tRNA) molecules are approximately 80 nucleotides in length. Their secondary structure includes four short double-helical elements and three loops (D, anti-codon, and T loops). Further hydrogen bonds mediate the characteristic L-shaped molecular structure. tRNAs have two regions of fundamental functional importance: the anti-codon, which is responsible for specific mRNA codon recognition, and the 3' end, to which the tRNAs corresponding amino acid is attached (by aminoacyl-tRNA synthetases). tRNAs cope with the degeneracy of the genetic code in two manners: having more than one tRNA (with a specific anti-codon) for a particular amino acid; and 'wobble' base-pairing, i.e. permitting non-standard base-pairing at the 3rd anti-codon position.
Source: Rfam